GCCAGACUCCUACGGGAGGCAGCAGUCGGGAAUAUUGCGCAAUGGAGGAAACUCUGACGCAGUGACGCCGCGUAUAGGAAGAAGGUUUUCGGAUUGUAAACUAUUGUCGUUAGGGAAGAUAAAAGACUGCACCUAAGGAGGAAGCCCCGGCUAACUAUGUGCCAGCAGCCGCGGUAAUACAUAGGGGGCAAGCGUUAUCCGGAAUUAUUGGGUGUAAAGGGUGCGUAGACGGAAGAACAAGUUGGUUGUGAAAUCCCUCGGCUCAACUGAGGAACUGCAACCAAAACUAUUCUCCUUGAGUGUCGGAGAGGAAAGUGGAAUUCCUAGUGUAGCGGUGAAAUGCGUAGAUAUUAGGAGGAACACCAGUGGCGAAGGCGAUUUUCUGGACGAUAACUGACGUUGAGGCACGAAAGUGUGGGGAGCAAACAGGAUUAGAUACCCUGGUA
RNAcentral lists this ribosomal RNA (446 nucleotides) under uncultured bacterium. RNAcentral describes it as "bacterial SSU rRNA". It matches the Rfam family "Bacterial small subunit ribosomal RNA", at positions 330 to 792 of the family's 1533-position model. The record is from RNAcentral.